RNAcentral lists this ribosomal RNA (380 nucleotides) under uncultured eukaryote. Its description in RNAcentral is "partial 18S ribosomal RNA". It matches the Rfam family "Eukaryotic small subunit ribosomal RNA", at positions 592 to 976 of the family's 1831-position model. The record is from RNAcentral.
CAAUAGCGUAUAUUAAAGUUGUUGCGGUUAAAAAGCUCGUAGUUGGAUUUCUGCCGAGGACGUCCGGUCCGCCCUCUGGGUGAGUACAUGGCACGGCCUGGGCAUCUUCUUGGGGAACGUAUCUGCACUUGACUGUGUGGUGCGGUAUCCAGGACUUUUACUUUGAGGAAAUUAGAGUGUUUCAAGCAGGCACACGCCUUGAAUACAUUAGCAUGGAAUAAUAAGAUAGGACCUCGGUUCUAUUUUGUUGGUUUCUAGAGCUGAGGUAAUGAUUAAUAGGGAUAGUUGGGGGCAUUCGUAUUUAACUGUCAGAGGUGAAAUUCUUGGAUUUGUUACAGACGGACUACUGCGAAAGCAUUUGCCAAGGAUGUUUUCAUUGA